Pseudonaja textilis is the source of this 253-nucleotide non-coding RNA. Lineage: Eukaryota; Metazoa; Chordata; Lepidosauria; Squamata; Elapidae. The record is from RefSeq and is a predicted model, not a curated record.
UUAUAUUGUUUUUGAUGCUGCUUUAUGUCAGGCUACAGAACUUUUCCCAUUCAAUCAACUAGGAUGAACUUCCGAAAACUAAACGUAUCAAAAGGAAUCCUUUAUUGAGAUGAGACAAUUCUUGUAGGGAUUAAAAGCAGUGUCUAAGGUCUCUCAGGCAUGCAGAGAUAGAUAAGGGAGUUUAAAACCCAUCCCCUUAUCUUGAUGUGUAUUUAGUAAAACAAAGAGCCAACAUAUUAAUUCCCAUACCCCC